This 614-nucleotide ribosomal RNA is filed under the name Salmonella enterica. RNAcentral describes it as "bacterial LSU rRNA". It matches the Rfam family "Bacterial large subunit ribosomal RNA", at positions 879 to 1495 of the family's 2925-position model. The record is from RNAcentral. RNAcentral also lists the same sequence under 1 other name. Lineage: Bacteria; Pseudomonadati; Pseudomonadota; Gammaproteobacteria; Enterobacterales; Enterobacteriaceae.
GCCUCGUGAAUUCAUCUCCGGGGGUAGAGCACUGUUUCGGCUAGGGGGCCAUCCCGGCUUACCAACCCGAUGCAAACUGCGAAUACCGGAGAAUGUUAUCACGGGAGACACACGGCGGGUGCUAACGUCCGUCGUGAAGAGGGAAACAACCCAGACCGCCAGCUAAGGUCCCAAAGUCAUGGUUAAGUGGGAAACGAUGUGGGAAGGCCCAGACAGCCAGGAUGUUGGCUUAGAAGCAGCCAUCAUUUAAAGAAAGCGUAAUAGCUCACUGGUCGAGUCGGCCUGCGCGGAAGAUGUAACGGGGCUAAACCAUGCACCGAAGCUGCGGCAGCGACACUGUGUGUUGUUGGGUAGGGGAGCGUUCUGUAAGCCUGUGAAGGUGUGUCGUGAGGCAUGCUGGAGGUAUCAGAAGUGCGAAUGCUGACAUAAGUAACGAUAAAGCGGGUGAAAAGCCCGCUCGCCGGAAGACCAAGGGUUCCUGUCCAACGUUAAUCGGGGCAGGGUGAGUCGACCCCUAAGGCGAGGCCGAAAGGCGUAGUCGAUGGGAAACGGGUUAAUAUUCCCGUACUUGGUGUUACUGCGAAGGGGGGACGGAGAAGGCUAUGUUGGCCGGG